Molecule: ribosomal RNA, 433 nt
Filed under: uncultured bacterium
Lineage: Bacteria
Description: partial 16S ribosomal RNA
Rfam family: Bacterial small subunit ribosomal RNA
Source: RNAcentral
AACGAACGCUGGCGGCAUGCCUAACACAUGCAAGUCGAACGAGACCUUCGGGUCUAGUGGCGCACGGGUGCGUAACGCGUGGGAAUCUGCCCUUCGGUUGGGAAUAACUGAGAGAAAUUUCAGCUAAUACCUUAUAAUGUCUUCGGACCAAAGAUUUAUCGCCGAGGGAUGAGCCCGCGUAGGAUUAGGUAGUUGGUGGGGUAAUGGCCUACCAAGCCGACGAUCCUUAGCUGGUCUGAGAGGAUGAUCAGCCACACUGGGACUGAGACACGGCCCAGACUCCUACGGGAGGCAGCAGUGGGGAAUAUUGGACAAUGGGCGAAAGCCUGAUCCACCAAUGCCGCGUGAGUGAUGAAGGCCUUAGGGUUGUAAAGCUCUUUUAACCGGGAUGAUAAUGACAGUACCGGGAGAAUAAGCUCCGGCUAACUCCGUG